This 233-nucleotide ribosomal RNA is filed under the name Salmonella enterica subsp. enterica serovar Cerro. RNAcentral describes it as "partial 23S ribosomal RNA". It matches the Rfam family "Bacterial large subunit ribosomal RNA", at positions 1652 to 1867 of the family's 2925-position model. Lineage: Bacteria; Pseudomonadati; Pseudomonadota; Gammaproteobacteria; Enterobacterales; Enterobacteriaceae. The record is from RNAcentral.
AACCGAAACAGGUGGUCAGGUAGAGAAUACCAAGGCGCUUGAGAGAACUCGGGUGAAGGAACUAGGCAAAAUGGUGCCGUAACUUCGGGAGAAGGCACGCUGACAUGUAGGUGAAGUGAUUUACUCAUGGAGCUGAAGUCAGUCGAAGAUACCAGCUGGCUGCAACUGUUUAUUAAAAACACAGCACUGUGCAAACACGAAAGUGGACGUAUACGGUGUGACGCCUGCCCGGU